Molecule: ribosomal RNA, 851 nt
Filed under: Escherichia coli
Lineage: Bacteria; Pseudomonadati; Pseudomonadota; Gammaproteobacteria; Enterobacterales; Enterobacteriaceae
Description: partial 23S ribosomal RNA
Rfam family: Bacterial large subunit ribosomal RNA
Source: RNAcentral
AUAAUGGGUCAGCGACUUAUAUUCUGUAGCAAGGUUAACCGAAUAGGGGAGCCGAAGGGAAACCGAGUCUUAACUGGGCGUUAAGUUGCAGGGUAUAGACCCGAAACCCGGUGAUCUAGCCAUGGGCAGGUUGAAGGUUGGGUAACACUAACUGGAGGACCGAACCGACUAAUGUUGAAAAAUUAGCGGAUGACUUGUGGCUGGGGGUGAAAGGCCAAUCAAACCGGGAGAUAGCUGGUUCUCCCCGAAAGCUAUUUAGGUAGCGCCUCGUGAAUUCAUCUCCGGGGGUAGAGCACUGUUUCGGCAAGGGGGUCAUCCCGACUUACCAACCCGAUGCAAACUGCGAAUACCGGAGAAUGUUAUCACGGGAGACACACGGCGGGUGCUAACGUCCGUCGUGAAGAGGGAAACAACCCAGACCGCCAGCUAAGGUCCCAAAGUCAUGGUUAAGUGGGAAACGAUGUGGGAAGGCCCAGACAGCCAGGAUGUUGGCUUAGAAGCAGCCAUCAUUUAAAGAAAGCGUAAUAGCUCACUGGUCGAGUCGGCCUGCGCGGAAGAUGUAACGGGGCUAAACCAUGCACCGAAGCUGCGGCAGCGACGCUUAUGCGUUGUUGGGUAGGGGAGCGUUCUGUAAGCCUGCGAAGGUGUGCUGUGAGGCAUGCUGGAGGUAUCAGAAGUGCGAAUGCUGACAUAAGUAACGAUAAAGCGGGUGAAAAGCCCGCUCGCCGGAAGACCAAGGGUUCCUGUCCAACGUUAAUCGGGGCAGGGUGAGUCGACCCCUAAGGCGAGGCCGAAAGGCGUAGUCGAUGGGAAACAGGUUAAUAUUCCUGUACUUGGUGUUACUGCGAAGG